GGUUACACCGGGUAAUCUAUCCUUCGAACGGCCGGUCAUGCUAAUAAAGCCGGCAGGUAUAAUGUGGAACGAUCGUAAAUCUCGUCGGUUCAAGGUACAACCUCGGUCGCACAAGUGCAACGCGUCGGUAGCGUAACGAGGACGUGUAAGUUUCAAGACGCGUAUUGGACGUCUAAGGAAACCCGUUACACCGGAUACUUCACCUCGAGAAACUAUCCGAAAAGGACGUCUGCGCAUGUGAAGCAGUAGAAUCAUUAUGGAACAAGAGAACACGAAAUUAACGAUCCCCUGUACAUCGACUCAUGCGUCAAACUGAAUCCAUUGUGUAACGGCAAUACUAUCAGCAUCGUCAGUCAACGAACAUCAUCAUCGUUGGUCCAGUCAUCUACGUCGCCUGACCGCGC
Long non-coding RNA from Vespa velutina, 404 nucleotides. RefSeq lists it as uncharacterized. The transcript has 2 exons. NCBI's taxonomy places the organism in Eukaryota, Metazoa, Arthropoda, Insecta, Hymenoptera, Vespidae. The record is from RefSeq and is a predicted model, not a curated record.